AUGAGGGGCGACCGAAGGGAACUCCGGCGAGGCGGCGGACGCGAGGCAGCGGAUCUGGUCGGCGACGAGCUUGAGGGCUGCACCAUCCGCCCCUGCCUGGACUGGAUCCGGAGCCCCGACGCGCAGGCCAACGCCACCGUCUUCCUCGCCAAGUUCUACGGCCGCGUCGAGCUGCUCAACCUGCUCGCCGCCAGCCCCGACGCCGGCCUCCGCCCGGCGCUCUUCCACUUGCUGCUCUACGAGGCGUGCGGCUGGAUGGUCAACCCCGUGUACGGCUCCGUCGGCCUGCUCUGGUCCGGCCAGUAG
RNAcentral lists this ribosomal RNA (306 nucleotides) under Triticum aestivum (bread wheat). Its description in RNAcentral is "partial small subunit ribosomal RNA". The record is from RNAcentral. Lineage: Eukaryota; Viridiplantae; Streptophyta; Magnoliopsida; Poales; Poaceae.